This 333-nucleotide ribosomal RNA is filed under the name uncultured eukaryote. RNAcentral describes it as "partial 18S ribosomal RNA". It matches the Rfam family "Eukaryotic small subunit ribosomal RNA", at positions 1470 to 1796 of the family's 1831-position model. The record is from RNAcentral.
CCCUUAGAUGUCCUGGGCUGCACGCGCGCUACACUGGAAGUUACGGAUUGAGAUACUACCUUGUCCGAAAUGGUCCGGGUAAUCACCUAAAAGCUUGUCAUAAUUGGAAUGGAUUAUUGUAACUAGUAAUCCUGAACGAGGAAUUCCUAGUAAGUCCCAGUCAACAGCUGGUACUGAUUACGUCCCUGCCCUUUGUACACACCGCCCGUCGCUACUACCGAUUGAAUGGUUUAGUGAGAUCUCUGGAUUGACGCUGGCUAGGGGGCGACCCUUGGCCAGGCUGUCGAGAAACUGCUCAAACUUGAUCAUUUAGAGGAAGUAAAAGUCGUAACA